Melanotaenia boesemani (Boeseman's rainbowfish) is the source of this 317-nucleotide long non-coding RNA. RefSeq lists it as uncharacterized. The transcript is spliced from 3 exons. NCBI's taxonomy places the organism in Eukaryota, Metazoa, Chordata, Actinopteri, Atheriniformes, Melanotaeniidae. The record is from RefSeq and is a predicted model, not a curated record.
GAAUCGCCUCCAUGUCUGGCUGAUGGAGUCCUCCACCUUCUGCUUUGACACUCAGAAUUUUAAUUGUCUUUCAGACUAAAAUGACACAGCUCCAUCUGCAGUCUCUGACACCCACCUGCAAAGCAUCCACCUCCAGGAAGAAAAAUCCACCUUCCUUCUAUACCGACCACCUCUGACAUCAAGAAACUAAAUCCACCUUCAGCCUCCACCUUCUCGCACCACCCUUAAGCCUCCAUCAUCUUCCAUCUAUCUUUGUACAUGUAGCUCCACCUGCAGUCUCUGCCAUCAACCUGCAAGGCAUCCACCUCCAGGAAGAA